This is a long non-coding RNA of Symphalangus syndactylus (siamang), 160 nucleotides long. RefSeq lists it as uncharacterized. Lineage: Eukaryota; Metazoa; Chordata; Mammalia; Primates; Hylobatidae. The record is from RefSeq and is a predicted model, not a curated record.
GUUUGCAGGACUACUGAGUCAGAAUUCGCAUUUUGACAAAACUCCAGCUUAUUAAUACACCUCAGAAGUGUUACAGGAAUUAAUUCGCAGGAUUUUGAAGAAUAUUUUGAGGUAUUGAUUUUAAUCUGAUUAAAUGAAAUAACCACGUGUCAACCUGGGG